This 493-nucleotide ribosomal RNA is filed under the name uncultured bacterium. RNAcentral's name for it is "bacterial SSU rRNA". It matches the Rfam family "Bacterial small subunit ribosomal RNA", at positions 36 to 518 of the family's 1533-position model. The record is from RNAcentral.
CUGGCGGCGUGCCUAACACAUGCAAGUCGAGCGGUGACAUGCGACGGAAGUGAAGUUUCGGAUGGAACUGAAGAUGUAUGUUUAGCGGCGGACGGGUGAGUAACGCGUGAGCAACCUGUCCCUUACAGGGGGAUAACACAGCGAAAGUUGUACUAAUACCGCAUGAGACCACGGUGAGACAUCUCACAGGGGUCAAAGGAGCAAUCCGGUAAGGGGUGGGCUCGCGUCCGAUUAGAUAGUUGGUGAGGUAACGGCCCACCAAGUCGACGAUCGGUAGCCGACCUGAGAGGGUGAUCGGCCACAUUGGGACUGAGACACGGCCCAAACUCCUACGGGAGGCAGCAGUGGGGAAUAUUGGGCAAUGGGGGAAACCCUGACCCAGCAACGCCGCGUGAGGGAAGAAGGUUUUCGGAUCGUAAACCUCUGUCCUUGGUGAAGAGAAAGAGACGGUAGCCAAGGAGGAAGCCCCGGCUAACUACGUGCCAGCAGCAGC